AUCGCUUCUCGGCCUUUUGGCUAAGAUCAAGUGUAGUAUCUGUUCUUAUCACUUUAAUAUCUGAUACAUCCUCUAUCCGAGGACAAUUUACACUAUUCUCCCCACCAUAU
RNAcentral lists this small nuclear RNA (110 nucleotides) under Myotis brandtii (Brandt's bat). Its description in RNAcentral is "U2 spliceosomal RNA". It matches the Rfam family "U2 spliceosomal RNA". From Rfam's summary of the family: U2 is a small nuclear RNA (snRNA) component of the spliceosome (involved in pre-mRNA splicing). Complementary binding between U2 snRNA (in an area lying towards the 5' end but 3' to hairpin I) and the branchpoint sequence (BPS) of the intron results the bulging out of an unpaired adenosine, on the BPS, which initiates a nucleophilic attack at the intronic 5' splice site, thus starting the first of two transesterification reactions that mediate splicing. The record is from Rfam by way of RNAcentral. Lineage: Eukaryota; Metazoa; Chordata; Mammalia; Chiroptera; Vespertilionidae.